CGGCCAGUUCCGAUGGUGAACCUGCGGAAGGAUCAUUACCGAGUGAGGGCCCUCUGGGUCCAACCUCCCACCCGUGUCUAUCGUACCUUGUUGCUUCGGCGGGCCCGCCGUUUCGACGGCCGCCGGGGAGGCCUUGCGCCCCCGGGCCCGCGCCCGCCGAAGACCCCAACAUGAACGCUGUUCUGAAAGUAUGCAGUCUGAGUUGAUUAUCGUAAUCAGUUAAAACUUUCAACAACGGAUCUCUUGGUUCCGGCAUCGAUGAAGAACGCAGCGAAAUGCGAUAAGUAAUGUGAAUUGCAGAAUUCAGUGAAUCAUCGAGUCUUUGAACGCACAUUGCGCCCCCUGGUAUUCCGGGGGGCAUGCCUGUCCGAGCGUCAUUGCUGCCCUCAAGCACGGCUUGUGUGUUGGGCCCCCGUCCCCCUCUCCCGGGGGACGGGCCCGAAAGGCAGCGGCGGCACCGCGUCCGGUCCUCGAGCGUAUGGGGCUUUGUCACCUGCUCUGUAGGCCCGGCCGGCGCCAGCCGACACCCAACUUUAUUUUUCUAAGGUUGACCUCGGAUCAGGUAGGGAUACCCGCUGAACUUAAGCAUAUCAAUAAGCGGAGGAGUCAUAGCUG
This 615-nucleotide ribosomal RNA is filed under the name Aspergillus fumigatus. RNAcentral's name for it is "eukaryotic LSU rRNA". The stretch from base 224 to 377 matches the Rfam family "5.8S ribosomal RNA". Lineage: Eukaryota; Fungi; Ascomycota; Eurotiomycetes; Eurotiales; Aspergillaceae. The record is from RNAcentral.